GAUGAACGCUAGCGGGAGGCCUAACACAUGCAAGCCGAGCGGUAGAGAUUCUUCGGAAUCUUGAGAGCGGCGUACGGGUGCGGAACACGUGUGCAACCUACCUUUAUCUGGAGGAUAGCCUUUCGAAAGGAAGAUUAAUACUCCAUAAUAUAUUGAUUGGCAUCGAUUGAUAUUGAAAGCUCCGGCGGAUAGAGAUGGGCACGCGCAAGAUUAGCUAGUUGGUGAGGUAACGGCUCACCAAGGCGAUGAUCUUAGGGGCCUGAGAGGGUGAUCCCCACACUGGUACUGAGACACGGACCAGACUCCUACGGGAGGCAGCAGUGAGGAAUAUUGGUCAAAUGGGUGCAAGCCUGAACCAGCCAUCCCGCGUG
RNAcentral lists this ribosomal RNA (371 nucleotides) under uncultured bacterium. Its description in RNAcentral is "bacterial SSU rRNA". It matches the Rfam family "Bacterial small subunit ribosomal RNA", at positions 28 to 403 of the family's 1533-position model. The record is from RNAcentral.